AGUGAGCGCUGGCGGUAGUCCUAACACAUGCAAGUCGAACGGCAGCACAGUAAGAGCUUGCUCUUACGGGUGGCGAGUGGCGGACGGGUGAGGAAUACAUCGGAAUCUACUUUUUCGUGGGGGAUAACGUAGGGAAACUUACGCUAAUACCGCAUACGACCUACGGGUGAAAGCAGGGGAUCUUCGGACCUUGCGCGAUUGAAUGAGCCGAUGUCGGAUUAGCUAGUUGGCGGGGUAAAGGCCCACCAAGGCGACGAUCCGUAGCUGGUCUGAGAGGAUGAUCAGCCACACUGGAACUGAGACACGGUCCAGACUCCUACGGGAGGCAGCAGUGGGGAAUAUUGGACAAUGGGCGCAAGCCUGAUCCAGCCAUACCGCGUGGGUGAAGAAGGCCUUCGGGUUGUAAAGCCCUUUUGUUGGGAAAGAAAAGCAGCAGGUUAAUACCCCGCUGUUCUGACGGUACCCAAAGAAUAAGCACCGGCUAACUUCGUG
This 492-nucleotide ribosomal RNA is filed under the name uncultured bacterium. Its description in RNAcentral is "partial 16S ribosomal RNA". It matches the Rfam family "Bacterial small subunit ribosomal RNA", at positions 29 to 507 of the family's 1533-position model. The record is from RNAcentral.